GAUGAACGCUAGCGGCAGGCUUAAUACAUGCAAGUCGUGGGGCAGCAUGAGUAGCAAUACUUGAUGGCGACCGGCAAACGGGUGAGGAACACGUACACAACCUUCCUUCAAGCGGGGAAUAGCCCAGAGAAAUUUGGAUUAAUACCCCAUAAUAUAUUUGAUAAGGCAUCUUAUUAAUAUUAAAGCUUCGGCACUUGAUGAUGGGUGUGCGGCUGAUUAGAUAGUUGGCGGGGUAACGGCCCACCAAGUCUACGAUCAGUAGCUGAUGUGAGAGCAUGAUCAGCCACACGGGCACUGAGACACGGGCCCGACUCCUACGGGAGGCAGCAGUAAGGAAUAUUGGACAAUGGACGAAAGUCUGAUCCAGCCAUGCCGCGUGAAGGAUUAAGGUCCUCUGGAUUGUAAACUUCUUUUAUAUGGGACAAAAAAGGGCAAUUCUUGUUCACUUGACGGUACCAUAUGAAUAAGCAACCGGCUAAACUCCGUG
Molecule: ribosomal RNA, 487 nt
Filed under: uncultured bacterium
Lineage: Bacteria
Description: bacterial SSU rRNA
Rfam family: Bacterial small subunit ribosomal RNA
Source: RNAcentral